Molecule: non-coding RNA, 96 nt
Filed under: Macaca nemestrina (pig-tailed macaque)
Lineage: Eukaryota; Metazoa; Chordata; Mammalia; Primates; Cercopithecidae
Source: RNAcentral
GGUGUCAAUGCAGUGAUGUUUUCAAAUAAUUGAUGACAACUGGUUACAGAUUCUUUGUUCCUUCUCCACCCCACGUGCUCACUUGACUAGCCUUAA